RNAcentral lists this long non-coding RNA (1601 nucleotides) under Homo sapiens (human). RNAcentral describes it as "HSALNT0373691". The record is from RNAcentral. Lineage: Eukaryota; Metazoa; Chordata; Mammalia; Primates; Hominidae.
GCCAUAUACAGCAUGGAACAGGGCUCCACAAGGACAUGAAUACCAGGUGGCAGGGAUCACUGGGCCAUCUCUCUAAAUCACGAAUGAAACAUUUGCAACCUGUGUCUCCCAAACAUGAUAUGUCUCAAUCAUCAAAGGAUCUACAGUGACUACAAUAACCAAGUGCUACAAAAACGCUGUGACGAGGAAUCUGAACAACAGAGAUUUGAGGGAAACAAAACACUUUCGACGAAGGUCCUGCUGCUUGUCUUCAGCUUGGUACCAAUUAGAGCUUCACUGGAGGUGAAAAGAUUCAAAGAUGAGUGAAGCAUAGCAUCUUUCCUGCAUAAACAUUUAAAAAAGGAGAAAGUGAGAGAGAGGAGUCUUCCAUCCACUUCUAAAUAGAACAAAAUGAUAUCUCAGUGCCCUUAACUUUGAAACUGAAACAGAGCUUCUAGAUCAUCUCAAGAUUUUGCAGCUUUGGAGAAAGCAAGCUGUAGGACUCAUGGCAUAGUGAGCAGCAUUUUUGCCAUGAGCGUCUGCAUUAGGAAAAUCUGGAGACUGCCGUCUCAAAGGGCUCCUUGGGCCAUGGAUCACUGCUCAGGGGAUGGGAGGAGGCAAGUCUAGGAGGGCCUGCCUGUGAGCUCAGGUGAGAUGCCCUUGAGGCCACUAGGGAGAAGGUGGGCCAGAGUCAUUGAUGGGAUUUGAAUAGUGAAGGGGUUAAUAAGCCAAUGAAAUGUGGAUUGCUCAACUUAAUAUAAGCACAUAAGUACUGUGUGAGGAAAAACAAACUGUGGAGAAAAUAGAUUUUCCUCUGCUCUCAUCCCACAACAAUGAACACAGAAGACUUCUGUGACCAAAUGUGGGUCCUCCGCUGCACCCCACACACCAAGCAAGUGAUCAAUUCUGCAGUGGACACCAGCAUUCGGUAUCCUCCACUUCAAUCCUGACACCAUCUACCUGGAGAUAGCAUCAGAUACCGCAGGUUGGGGGCUCAGUCCCACAAGACUGCCCUCGACUUUGGAUGCCAAUCACAAGCCCCAGGUUUUUAUAUCUGUGCUUCUGACUGGCUGUAAAUAGAAGUUCCCAAAAUUCCCUUCUCCUGUUCGAUUAGUUUGCUAGAGUGGCUCACAGAACUUGUUACAGGUAGUUAGACAGGCAUGAGUGGGGCAGGAGAGGGUCCUCCCUCACCUACUAGGAAUGUUGGGUGAUGGUUUGGCAAUUAUCACAUUGCCUCUCUAAAAGUGAUAAGUUGCCAGCCGGUGCCAGGGAAAGGCCACUUCCUGAUGAUCUACACCUGUUGCACUAAAGUGUUAAUUGAAUGCAGAUGCCAGUGGGGAGCAAAUUUCUGGGCAUGCACAUUAAGAGACAAAAUGGCUGAGUAUGAUCUUCCAGGCACACUCCACCAGAAAAGGGAAGAAAAGCCUCAGAUGGGCAUGUGUACAACUUCCUAAACACACUGCAUGUGGUCAUUUUCCAAGCAUAAGGAGGGUACUGUGCAUGCAGGCAGCCCACCCUAAGGUAGAAUCAUGGGAAAGGGGCCAGCCUAUAAAGUCCUAGGAUCCAGGUUAAAGACCACACUUGUUCUUCAAGUCACAUGCUUGGGUCUCUUCCAAGCACAC